RNAcentral lists this small nuclear RNA (98 nucleotides) under Octodon degus (degu). The record is from RNAcentral. Lineage: Eukaryota; Metazoa; Chordata; Mammalia; Rodentia; Octodontidae.
GAGCUUGCUUAACAGCAUGUAUACUAAAAUUGGAACAAUACAGAGAAAACUAGCAUGGCCCCAGCACAAGGAUAGAAUGAGAUUUUUUCCAUAUUUUU